CCUACGGGGGGCUGCAGUGGGGAAUAUUGGACAAUGGGCGCAAGCCUGAUCCAGCAAUACCGCGUGUGUGAAGAAGGCCUGAGGGUUGUAAAGCACUUUUAAUCGGGAGGAAUAGCGGUCGGUUAAUACCCGGUCGUCUGACAUUACCGAUAGAAAAAGCACCGGCUAACUCCGUGCCAGCAGCCGCGGUAAUACGGAGGGUGCAAGCGUUAAUCGGAGUUACUGGAGGUGGUUGGUUAAGAGGCGGUUGAAAGCCCCGGGCUGAACCUGGGAACGGCAUUUGAAACUGUUCGACUAGAGUUGGGUAGAGGGGAGUGGAAUUUCAGGUGUAGCGGUGAAAUGCGUAGAUAUCUGAAGGAACACCAGUGGCGAAGGCGGCUCCCUGGACCCAAACUGACGCUGAGGCACGAAAGCGUGGGUAGCAAACAGGAUUAGAUACCCCGGUAGUC
Molecule: ribosomal RNA, 449 nt
Filed under: uncultured bacterium
Lineage: Bacteria
Description: partial 16S ribosomal RNA
Rfam family: Bacterial small subunit ribosomal RNA
Source: RNAcentral